This 264-nucleotide signal recognition particle RNA is filed under the name Deltaproteobacteria bacterium. Its description in RNAcentral is "signal recognition particle sRNA large type". It matches the Rfam family "Bacterial large signal recognition particle RNA". From Rfam's summary of the family: The signal recognition particle (SRP) is a universally conserved ribonucleoprotein involved in the co-translational targeting of proteins to membranes. Archaeal SRP consists of a 7S RNA and homologues of the eukaryotic SRP19 and SRP54 proteins. Lineage: Bacteria; Pseudomonadati; Myxococcota; Myxococcia. The record is from RNAcentral.
UCGUGCUAGACGGGGAGCUAGCGGUGCCCUGUAACCCGAAAUCCGCUUAUGCGGGGUCGAAUGUCCUUGCUGAGAGUCUUUCACCUGAGGCCUCCGUUGGUCGUUCUUGGCAAGGGAGUGGACCUUGCGUGACAGACACUUGCAAACCCCGUCAGGUCCGGAAGGAAGCAGCGGUACGCAAGAGAGUCUGUGUCGCAACGACCUCUACUCCUUACACCGGGACGAUGACGGGACCUUUGGUGGGACGCGAUCAAGGAUGCACGA